AACGAACGCUGGCGGCAUGCCUAACACAUGCAAGUCGAACGAGACCUUCGGGUCUAGUGGCGCACGGGUGCGUAACGCGUGGGAAUCUACCCUUGGGUUCGGAAUAACGGUUAGAAAUGACUGCUAAUACCGGAUGAUGACGUAAGUCCAAAGAUUUAUCGCCCAAGGAUGAGCCCGCGUAAGAUUAGCUUGUUGGUGGGGUAAUGGCCUACCAAGGCGACGAUCUUUGGCUGGUCUGAGAGGAUGAUCAGCCACACUGGGACUGAGACACGGCCCAGACUCCUACGGGAGGCAGCAGUGGGGAAUAUUGGACAAUGGGCGAAAGCCUGAUCCAGCAAUGCCGCGUGAGUGAUGAAGGCCUUAGGGUUGUAAAGCUCUCUUACCAGGGAUGAUAAUGACAGUACCUGGAGAAUAAGCUCCGGCUAACUCCGUGCCAGCCGCCGCCGUAA
This 449-nucleotide ribosomal RNA is filed under the name uncultured bacterium. RNAcentral describes it as "partial 16S ribosomal RNA". It matches the Rfam family "Bacterial small subunit ribosomal RNA", at positions 29 to 523 of the family's 1533-position model. The record is from RNAcentral.